GAUGAACGCUGGCGGCGUGCCUAAUACAUGCAAGUCGAGCGAACGGACGAGAAGCUUGCUUCUCUGAUGUUAGCGGCGGACGGGUGAGUAACACGUGGAUAACCUACCUAUAAGACUGGGAUAACUUCGGGAAACCGUAGCUAAUACCGGAUAAUAUUUUGAACCGCAUGGUUCAAAAGUGAAAGACGGUCUUGCUGUCACUUAUAGAUGGAUCCGCGCUGCAUUAGCUAGUUGGUAAGGUAACGGCUUACCAAGGCAACGAUUCAUAGCCGACCUGAGGGGGUGAUCGGCCACACUGGAACUGAGACACGGUCCAGACUCCUACGGGAGGCAGCAGUAGGGAAUCUUCCGCAAAGGGCGAAAGCCUGACGGAGCAACGCCGCGUGAGUGAUGAAGGUCUUCGGAUCGUAAAACUCUGUUAUUAGGGAAGAACAUAUGUGUAAGUAACUGUGCACAUCUUGACGGUACCUAAUCAGAAAGCCACGGCUAACUACGUG
RNAcentral lists this ribosomal RNA (497 nucleotides) under uncultured bacterium. RNAcentral describes it as "partial 16S ribosomal RNA". It matches the Rfam family "Bacterial small subunit ribosomal RNA", at positions 28 to 507 of the family's 1533-position model. The record is from RNAcentral.